RNAcentral lists this ribosomal RNA (466 nucleotides) under uncultured bacterium. Its description in RNAcentral is "bacterial SSU rRNA". It matches the Rfam family "Bacterial small subunit ribosomal RNA", at positions 329 to 793 of the family's 1533-position model. The record is from RNAcentral.
UACCAGACUCCUACGGGAGGCAGCAGUGAGGAAUAUUGGUCAAUGGGCGAGAGCCUGAACCAGCCAAGCCGCGUGAGGGAUGAAGGUACAGAGUAUCGUAAACCUCUUUUGUCAGGGAACAAAGGCGGGGACGCGUCCCCGGAUGAGUGUACCUGAAGAAAAAGCAUCGGCUAACUCCGUGCCAGCAGCCGCGGUAAUACGGAGGAUGCGAGCGUUAUCCGGAUUUAUUGGGUUUAAAGGGUGCGCAGGCGGAGGUGCAAGUCAGCGGUCAAAUUGCGGGGCUCAACCCCGUACUGCCGUUGAAACUGCAUCCCUUGAGUGCGCGAGAAGUAUGCGGAAUGCGUGGUGUAGCGGUGAAAUGCAUAGAUAUCACGCAGAACUCCGAUUGCGAAGGCAGCAUACCGGCGCGCAACUGACGCUCAUGCACGAAAGCGUGGGUAUCGAACAGGAUUAGAUACCCCAGUAU